CCCAAAAAGACCAUUUGACUCCCUAAUUCUUUAUCAUAUCCUUUUGAUUUAUCCUUUUUCGUUAGCGGUUCAAAACUCCUUAUCUUUCUCAUUCACUUUUAUACAAAAGGAUCUGAGCGAAAAAGCUGUUCUCUUAUCACAUGUCACAUUAUAUAUGAUACAUGUACAAAUUAACAUCUUUGAGCAAGGAAUCCCCGUUUGAAUGAUUCACGAUCGAGAUUUUUAUUCAUACUGAAACUUACAAAGUUGUUCUUUUGACAAAUUAUAGGAACUGGAUGAGGCUUUGUAAUACCCUUUCAAUUGACAUAGACCCACGUUCUCUAGUAAAAUGAAAUGAGGAUGAGACAUCAGGAAUAGUUGGGAUAGCUCAGUUGGUAGAGCAGAGGACUGAAAAUCCUCGUGUCA
This 405-nucleotide unclassified non-coding RNA is filed under the name Guynesomia scoparia. Its description in RNAcentral is "partial contains tRNA-Leu and trnL-trnF intergenic spacer". The stretch from base 357 to 405 matches the Rfam family "tRNA", at positions 1 to 47 of the family's 71-position model. The record is from RNAcentral. Lineage: Eukaryota; Viridiplantae; Streptophyta; Magnoliopsida; Asterales; Asteraceae.